UUCCAACCACACAUUAGCAUA
RNAcentral lists this non-coding RNA (21 nucleotides) under Caenorhabditis elegans. The record is from RNAcentral. Lineage: Eukaryota; Metazoa; Nematoda; Chromadorea; Rhabditida; Rhabditidae.